UUUAUUCUAUGUUAAUUUACACUGGAAACAUUUUUUCUCUAAAUUCUUCCAUAGUCACCAGGCUGAGGUGUGGCUGUACACUCAUAGACAUCUUGAAGACAGGAUGAAAAAGUUUCACAGGGCAUGCAGAUCUCUGCAUGGGGGCCUACAAAGAAGAAUCAUAGCCUCACACUCAAAGCUCAUGCUCUAAAAACACAUAGGUAAAACUUCAUCAAUACUAUGAAUGAUUUAAAAAUACAAGAAGUGCAAAAAAUUUAAAAAAAUACGAGAAGUGCAAUAACAAGAUGGCUAAAACAAGUGUAUACUCAGGGAAAUAAUAAAUGGUUGAAGAAAAGUAAAGCUGGGAGUUUUCAGACAAGAGGAGCCACUGUCUGUAAAAAAAAAAUAAAUAAAAAUUGAGGCACACUUUUUUGAAGAAGGUAGGUCUUUACCUGGGCUUAGAGAAUAUUGGAGGUUUCUCCAGGUGUAGAGGAAGAGCCAUACCAUAUCCUAGUGAAGUACUUUACAUACAAACAGAGAGAUGGGGAUCUGUAGGUUGCAUAGAGGGCACUGUGAGUGAUUGCCUACAUGGAUUGAGUUAUUUUGUUUUUUUGCUUGUUUGUUUUCUUUAAGAGAUGUCUCAGGACUUACCUUGGCAGUGCAAUCACCAAUGCAGACAAGGGAGGAGAAAUUACUGGAUCGGAGAGAGAUUAGAGAGUAAAGUCUAGUGAAUGAUAAGGUCAAUUAUAGUUUGAAUUCAAAGAAACCAAACAAAAAUUAAUAGGAAAAAAAACUACAUCAUGUGCUCCAUGACCUCCUAGAAUGGGUUGCAUUGAAAAGGUCUUUGCAGGGCAGAAAAUGGAAGCUGCAGGAUGUAGACUUCUUCUGGCAUUAGUGAAGGGGUCCUCUCCCUUGAGCUCCCAUCCCAAGAAGCCUCUCAACCCCAUGAGACCUGCUCAACUUCACCUCACUUCAGCGCUUACUCUUCAGAAUUUCUCAAGCAAGAAGGGAAGAAAAUUCUACAUUCAAUGGAUAUGGGUAUGACAAUGCAGCAUCAGCCAUGGGAACAUCAAUUGCCUUGGGAACUGAUGCGGGAUAAAGCUGUAAUUUCAGUAUAUUAAG
This is a long non-coding RNA of Ailuropoda melanoleuca (giant panda), 1101 nucleotides long. RefSeq lists it as uncharacterized. Lineage: Eukaryota; Metazoa; Chordata; Mammalia; Carnivora; Ursidae. The record is from RefSeq and is a predicted model, not a curated record. The transcript is spliced from 4 exons.